GGGGAGAAGGCCUCUUCCUCCUCCUCCUCCUCCUCCAGCCGCCGCCGGACUCUCCGACACACACACACACACGCCAACCGACGGAGGCGGGAGAUGAUGAUUAUUAGUUGCGUUGAGUCAUCAGGCCAAAAUCUCCCCCGCCACCACCGCCAAAAGCCUUAAAACUGGGUCUCGGGUGGAAGCGGAAAAACCAUCUCUCGAAGAUGGCACGACCAAGUGAUAACCCGUGAAUAACCAUCGGUUGCGUUUCCCUCCUUACCUCGGGGAUGAACUGAACUCCGAAGCCUUCCUCCCGACCGAUGUCCAGAAACUUAGAAGAAUUGGUGAUAUUAGGACUUCGGUACUUUUGGGGGGGGGAAUAAAAAAAAAGAAAAGAAAGAAAAAGGCCAAUGGUUUAGCCAAGAAUCUCCCUUGUCUGAUUCGUCACUAUUAUUAUAUCUGAUGAUGCUCCUGGUUGGAGCGAUUCAUCCCCCAGCCAUUAAUGAGCUAUUUUAUAAACACCCCCGGUGGAAGAUCCUCAUUUUCCAGUGGCCAGCGAACACUCCCCUAAACCCUACGAGAAUGGGUUUCCAACAACCCGAUUUCGGGCCCUCCAAUGAAAAAGGCGCAAAAGACUCCCCGCCGCAGCGUUUCUAAUGCGCUCAAUAUUUUAUAAAGUUGUAAAUAAUUGAUCAGGUGUCUACCCCAACGAUUAAGUCUGAAUUAUUAAACCCCUCCGAAGAGCCAUUUGAAUAACGCAUCCAAUUAAGUAGUUAAAUAUAUACCGCCGUUAGUUCGGUUGCCAAUUUUACACCUUUUUUAAAAAAAAAAAACAAAUCUGAGAACUUUCUCUUUUUUUAUUUGGUUUUUCGUUUUGGUGUUAGACGGAAGGAUCCCUGAAAUAUUGUAAACUCUGGAUCGAAGACAGGGAAAUGCCUCUUGUGUCCCCCAAAACAGGUCCACAGGCCCAAGAGAAGAAAAACUACAACGAAAGUUCGUAGAUUUAAGCGGGUUAACGUGUCUCUUAGCUCGUUUCCAUUUUAAAAGCGAAUUCUUGGAAGUUUGGUAACGUAUACCCCUUGUGUGUCUUUUCUUUUUUGUUUUCCUCUUUUCGGUUGGUUUUUUUUCCUUCCUUUUUUUCCCUAAUAAAGGCCUUCUCUGUUUCAAAUUACUACGCAUUUUA
This is a long non-coding RNA of Ornithorhynchus anatinus (platypus), 1162 nucleotides long. RefSeq lists it as uncharacterized. The transcript is spliced from 2 exons. The record is from RefSeq and is a predicted model, not a curated record. Lineage: Eukaryota; Metazoa; Chordata; Mammalia; Monotremata; Ornithorhynchidae.